CGUGUGUGUGUGUGUGUGUGUGUGUAUAGACAUAAACACACACACACACACACACACACACACACA
Molecule: microRNA precursor, 66 nt
Filed under: Podarcis lilfordi (Lilford's wall lizard)
Lineage: Eukaryota; Metazoa; Chordata; Lepidosauria; Squamata; Lacertidae
Source: RNAcentral